GUUGAACGCUGGCGGAAUGCUUUACACAUGCAAGUCGAACGGCAGCACGGACUUCGGUCUGGUGGCGAGUGGCGAACGGGUGAGUGAUGUAUCGGAACGUGCCCAGUCGUGGGGGAUAACGUAGUGAAAAUUACGCUAAUACCGCAUACGAUCUAUGGAUGAAAGCGGGGGAUCGCAAGACCUCGCGCGAUUGGAGCGGCCGAUAUCAGAUUAGGUAGUUGGUGGGGUAAAGGCCCACCAAGCCAACGAUCUGUGGCUGGUCUGAGAGGACGACCAGCAACACUUGAGCUGAGACGCGGUCCAGACUCCUACGGGAGGCAGCAGUGGGGAAUUUUGGACAAUGGGCGAAAGCCUGAUCCAGCCAUUCCGCGUGCAGGAUGAAGGCCCUCGGGUUGUAAACUGCUUUUGUACAGAACGAAAAGGUUUCUACUAAUACUAGGAGCUCAUGACGGUACUGUAAGAAUAAGCACCGGCUAACUACGUGCCAGCCGCCGCAGUAA
This 500-nucleotide ribosomal RNA is filed under the name uncultured bacterium. RNAcentral describes it as "partial 16S ribosomal RNA". It matches the Rfam family "Bacterial small subunit ribosomal RNA", at positions 28 to 523 of the family's 1533-position model. The record is from RNAcentral.